RNAcentral lists this ribosomal RNA (484 nucleotides) under uncultured bacterium. RNAcentral describes it as "partial 16S ribosomal RNA". It matches the Rfam family "Bacterial small subunit ribosomal RNA", at positions 30 to 507 of the family's 1533-position model. The record is from RNAcentral.
AUUGAACGCUGGCGGCAGGCCUAACACAUGCAAGUCGAGCGGAUGAAGGGAGCUUGCUCCUGGAUUCAGCGUCGGACGGGUGAGUAAUGCCUAGGAAUCUGCUUGGUAGUGGGGGAUAACGUCCGGAAACGGGCGCUAAUACUGCAUACGUCCUGAGGGAGCAAGUGGGGGGUCUUCGGACCUCACGCUCUCUGAUGAGCCUAGGCCGGAUUAGCUAGUUGGUGGGGUAAAGGCCUACCAAGCCGACGAUCCGUAACUGGCCUGAGAGGAUGAUCAGUCACACUGGAACUGGGACACGGUCCAGACUCCUACAGGAGGCAGCAGUGGGGAAUAUUAGACAAUGGGCGAAAGCCUGAUCCAGCCAUGCCGCGUGUGUGAAGGAGGUCUUCGGAUUGUAAAGCACGUUAAGUUGGGGGGAAGGGCAGUAAGUUAAUACCUUGCUGUUUUGACGUUACCAACAGAAUAAGCACCGGCUAACUUCGUG